UACUACCAUUUGUACUAAAUCUGCUUAAUCUAGUUUACCCAUGGCCUCCCAUUCUCAUAGAUUGACCAUAUUGAUUGCAAGAGUUACACAACAGUUUGCUUAAUUUCUCUAAUACACUUCAGAUAUGUGUAGCAUAUUUGGUGAGCCAAUACACCAUGGAUCACUACUCCCAUGGCUCGUAAAACCACUCACUAGUUAUAUUGUAGAGCGUCUAUAAGAAC
RNAcentral lists this long non-coding RNA (221 nucleotides) under Oryza brachyantha (malo sina). Its description in RNAcentral is "long non-coding RNA (OBRA_LNC002161)". Lineage: Eukaryota; Viridiplantae; Streptophyta; Magnoliopsida; Poales; Poaceae. The record is from RNAcentral.